CUUCCCGGGGCUUGACAUCCUUGAAAUUUCCGGAGAGAUAGAGUGCCUCUUCGGAGCAAGGGAAACAGGUGGUGCAUGGUUGUCGUUAACCUGGUUUUUUGAGUUUUGGGUUAAGUCCCGCAAGGGGGCCAACCCCUUUUCUUAGUUGCCACCCGUUAGGUUGGGCACUCUAGGGAGACUGCCGGUGAUAAACCGGAGGAAGGUGGGGAUGACGUCAAGUCAUCAUGCCCCUUAUGUCCAGGGCUACACACGUGCUACAAUGGUCGGUACAAAGGGUUGCGAAGCAGCGAUGUGGAGCGAAUCCCAUAAAGCCGAUCUCAGUUCGGAUUGCAGUCUGCAACUCGCCUGCAUGAAGUUGGAAUCGCUAGUAAUCGCGAAUCAG
This 382-nucleotide ribosomal RNA is filed under the name uncultured bacterium. Its description in RNAcentral is "bacterial SSU rRNA". It matches the Rfam family "Bacterial small subunit ribosomal RNA", at positions 970 to 1352 of the family's 1533-position model. The record is from RNAcentral.